UACGUAGGGGGCAAGCGUUGUCCGGAAUCAUUGGGCGUAAAGCGCGUGUAGGCGGCCCGGUAAGUCCGCUGUGAAAGUCGGGGGCUCAACCCUCGAAUGCCGGUGGAUACUGUCGGGCUAGAGUGCGGAAGAGGCGAGUGGAAUUCCUGGUGUAGCGGUGGAAUGCGCAGAUAUCAGGAGGAACACCGAUGGCGAAGGCAGCUCGCUGGGACGGUACUGACGCUGGAGGCGCGAAAGCGUGGGGAGCGAACAGG
RNAcentral lists this ribosomal RNA (254 nucleotides) under uncultured bacterium. Its description in RNAcentral is "partial 16S ribosomal RNA". It matches the Rfam family "Bacterial small subunit ribosomal RNA", at positions 524 to 776 of the family's 1533-position model. The record is from RNAcentral.